GUGUGGCAUGACAAUCAACCUGUGCUCUACUGUGAUAAUUUUCGUGUUAUUUUUCAACAAUUGGUAACCAAAUCUCUCCUGUGAAGAGUGUUGUAGUUCUGAAUAUAUGAUUGGUAAUUUUUGACACAAUCCUGCUAAAUUUCUUUAUAAACAAGUGCAAUUUAUCUUUUGCAUAAGUUGAUGUUUAAUGUUUGGAAGUCAUUCUUAGCAUGAAACCUCUAUUUACCUGUAAUCAUUGAAGUUUUAUAUGAAAG
RNAcentral lists this unclassified non-coding RNA (254 nucleotides) under Hevea brasiliensis (rubber tree). Lineage: Eukaryota; Viridiplantae; Streptophyta; Magnoliopsida; Malpighiales; Euphorbiaceae. The record is from RNAcentral.